GACGAACGCUGGCGGCGUGCUUAACACAUGCAAGUCGAACGGAAAGGCCCCUUUGGGGGUACUCGAGUGGCGAACGGGUGAGUAACACGUGAGUAACCUUCCCUUGACUUCGGGAUAACUUCAGGAAACUGGGGCUAAUACCGGAUAGGAAUCCUUGCUGCAUGGUGGGGGUUGGAAAGCUUCGGCGGUUUUGGAUGGACUCGCGGCUUAUCAGCUUGUUGGUGGGGUAGUGGCUUACCAAGGCUUUGUCGGGUAGCCGGCCUGAGAGGGCGACCGGCCACAUUGGGACUGAGAUACGGCCCAGACUCCUACGGGAGGCAGCAGUGGGGAAUAUUGCACAAUGGGCGGAAGCCUGAUGCAGCAACGCCGCGUGCGGGAUGACGGCCUUCGGGUUGUAAACCGCUUUCAGCAGGGGCGAAGCUUGUGGUGACGGUACCUGCAGAAGAAGCACCGGCUAACUACGUG
Molecule: ribosomal RNA, 465 nt
Filed under: uncultured bacterium
Lineage: Bacteria
Description: partial 16S ribosomal RNA
Rfam family: Bacterial small subunit ribosomal RNA
Source: RNAcentral